GUUGUAUAGUCAAGUAAUUAAGUGCAUGUGGUGGAUGCCUUGGCAGUCAGAGGCGAUGAAAGACGUGAUAGCCUGCGAAAAGCUCCGGGGAGGCGGCAAAUAUCCUUUGAUCCGGAGAUGUCUGAAUGGGGGAACCCACCUACUUUAAGGUAGGUAUUGCAACAUGAAUACAUAGUGUUGCAAGGCGAACGAGGGGAAGUGAAACAUCUCAGUACCCUUAGGAAAAGAAAUCAAUUGAGAUUCCCUC
Molecule: ribosomal RNA, 247 nt
Filed under: Acinetobacter baumannii
Lineage: Bacteria; Pseudomonadati; Pseudomonadota; Gammaproteobacteria; Moraxellales; Moraxellaceae
Description: partial 23S ribosomal RNA
Rfam family: Bacterial large subunit ribosomal RNA
Source: RNAcentral